RNAcentral lists this ribosomal RNA (488 nucleotides) under uncultured bacterium. RNAcentral describes it as "partial 16S ribosomal RNA". It matches the Rfam family "Bacterial small subunit ribosomal RNA", at positions 28 to 507 of the family's 1533-position model. The record is from RNAcentral.
GACGAACGCUGGCGGCGUGCUUAACACAUGCAAGUCGAACGGAAAGGCCCUGCUUUUGUGGGGUGCUCGAGUGGCGAACGGGUGAGUAACACGUGAGUAACCUGCCCUUGACUUUGGGAUAACUUCAGGAAACUGGGGCUAAUACCGGAUAGGAGCUCCUGCUGCAUGGUGGGGGUUGGAAAGUUUCGGCGGUUGGGGAUGGACUCGCGGCUUAUCAGCUAGUUGGUGGGGUAGUGGCUUACCAAGGCUUGGACGGGUAGCCGGCCUGAGAGGGUGCCCGGCAGCAGGGGAAGAGGGAGGCGGGCCAGAGGCCUACGGGAGGCAGCAGUAGGGAAGGGUCGGCAGUGGGCGGAAGGUGGGCGGAGCGCCGCCGGGUGAGAGAUGGAGUUCUUCGGAGCGGAAAACUGUGUGAUUAGGGAAGAACAAAGGUGGAAGGAACUAUGCACGGCGUGACGGUAGCUAAUCAGAAAGCCACGGCUAACUACGUG